AACGAACGCUGGCGGCAUGCCUAACACAUGCAAGUCGAACGAGACCUUCGGGUCUAGUGGCGCACGGGUGCGUAACGCGUGGGAACCUGCCCUUAGGUUCGGAAUAACUCCCCGAAAGGGGUGCUAAUACCGGAUAAUGUCUUCGGACCAAAGAUUUAUCGCCUUUGGAUGGGCCCGCGUUGGAUUCGCUCGUUGGUAGGGUAAAAGCCUACCAAGGCGACGAUCCAUAGCUGGUCUGAGAGGAUGAUCAGCCACACUGGGACUGAGACACGGCCCAGACUCCUACGGGAGGCAGCAGUGGGGAAUAUUGGACAAUGGGCGAAAGCCUGAUCCAGCAAUGCCGCGUGAGUGAUGAAGGCCUUAGGGUUGUAAAGCUCUUUUACCCGGGAUGAUAAUGACAGUACCGGGAGAAUAAGCGCCGGCUAACUCCGUG
RNAcentral lists this ribosomal RNA (433 nucleotides) under uncultured bacterium. RNAcentral's name for it is "partial 16S ribosomal RNA". It matches the Rfam family "Bacterial small subunit ribosomal RNA", at positions 29 to 507 of the family's 1533-position model. The record is from RNAcentral.